CGUAUAUUAAAGUUGUUGCAGUUAAAAAGCUCGUAGUUGGAUUUGUGGCGUGUGGNGUGUUCCAGGCACUUGUUGUCUGAGUGACUCGCUGCUGCCAUCCUUGGGUGGAACCUGCGUGGCAUUAGGUUGUCGUGCAGGGGGUGCCCAUCUUUUACUGUGAAAAAAUUAGAGUGUUCAAAGCAGGCUUACGCCAUUGAAUAUAUUAGCAUGGAAUAAUGAGAUAGGACAUUUUUGCUAUUUUGUUGGUUUGUGCAAAGAGGUAAUGAUUAAUAGGGACAGUUGGGGG
This 286-nucleotide ribosomal RNA is filed under the name uncultured diatom. RNAcentral describes it as "partial 18S ribosomal RNA". It matches the Rfam family "Eukaryotic small subunit ribosomal RNA", at positions 598 to 888 of the family's 1831-position model. Lineage: Eukaryota; Bacillariophyta. The record is from RNAcentral.